RNAcentral lists this ribosomal RNA (441 nucleotides) under uncultured bacterium. RNAcentral's name for it is "partial 16S ribosomal RNA". It matches the Rfam family "Bacterial small subunit ribosomal RNA", at positions 338 to 795 of the family's 1533-position model. The record is from RNAcentral.
CCUACGUGUGGCAGCAGUGGGGAAUAUUGCACAAUGGGGGAAACCCUGAUGCAGCGACGCCGCGUGAGCGAGGAAGUAUUUCGGUAUGUACAGCUCUGUCAGCAGGGAAGAAGAAUGACGGUACCUGAAGAAGAAGCACCGGCUAAAUACGUGCCAGCAGCCGCGGUAAUACGUAUGGUGCAGGGGUUAUCCGGAUUUACUGGGUGUAAAGGGAGCGCAGGCGGUUCUGCAAGUCUGAUGUGAAAGCCCGGGGCUCAACCGCGGGACUGCAUUGGAAACUGCGGGACUGGAGGGUCGGAGGGGUAAGCGGAAUUCCUGGUGUAGCGGUGAAAUGCGUAGAUAUCAGGAGGAACACCGGUGGCGAAGGCGGCCUGCUGGACUGCAACUGACGUUGAGGCCCGAAAGCGUGGGGAGCAAACAGGAUUAGAUACCCCUGUAGUC